Molecule: long non-coding RNA, 295 nt
Filed under: Olea europaea (common olive)
Lineage: Eukaryota; Viridiplantae; Streptophyta; Magnoliopsida; Lamiales; Oleaceae
Description: long non-coding RNA (OEUR_LNC002724)
Source: RNAcentral
UCCGAGACGCCAAGGCCAUGGCGGCCACACCGGCUGACAUCAAAGAGUACCCGAAUUCCUACGUGUUCAUCGUGGACAUGCCGGGACUGAAGUCGAAUGACAUCAAAGUGCAGGUGGAGGACGACAAUGUGCUGCUGAUUUCUGGGGAGAGGAAAAGGGAUGAGGAAAAAGAAGGUGCAAAGAAUGGAGAGGAGAGUUGGGAAAUUUAUGAGAAAAUUUGUUCUGCCUGAAAAUGCAAAUACUAAUGCAAUUUCUGCUGCUUGUCAAGAUGGGGUUUUGACUGUGACUGUUCAGA